Pelobates cultripes (western spadefoot toad) is the source of this 237-nucleotide non-coding RNA. The record is from the annotation of a GenBank genome assembly. Lineage: Eukaryota; Metazoa; Chordata; Amphibia; Anura; Pelobatidae.
ACGAAGUGCCCUUCGCCACUUGUGCCUUGAGAGGACUGCUUGCCCGCCUCUUGCCCUGUGACUAUGGACCCUGGGAGAUUUGGCCCGUUCAAUUCAGAGGGAUAGGAGUUAUGUAUUUUUGUAUCCUUUUGUGUUUUACUGGGAACAUGUGCUCAAUGGAGUCUGCUUCUAUCCCUGGAUAAUUGGAUUACUUUCCCCAUUGUCUCCAGGCUAGAGGGCUCUGUAAAACCAGUUUGG